AACUCUCAACCCCCCUGUUUUGUAAUGAAACGGGCGUGGGCUUGGAUUAUGGCUGUUUGUCGGCGUCAUUGCCGGCUCAGCUGAAAUACACGAGCAACCCAUUUGAAAUAGACGGUUUGACUCGGCGUAAUAAUUAUUUCGCUGAGGACGUUUUCUUCAAAAGUCAGUGGUGCUUCUAAUGCGCUUUUUAAUUAAAGCACCUUAAGC
Molecule: unclassified non-coding RNA, 207 nt
Filed under: uncultured Rhodotorula
Lineage: Eukaryota; Fungi; Basidiomycota
Description: sequence contains ITS2
Source: RNAcentral